RNAcentral lists this transfer RNA (91 nucleotides) under Streptomyces cyanogenus. RNAcentral's name for it is "tRNA-His". Lineage: Bacteria; Bacillati; Actinomycetota; Actinomycetes; Kitasatosporales; Streptomycetaceae. The record is from RNAcentral.
AGGGGCGUGGGGCGAGCCGGCGACCGCGGCCGCGUGGUGGCUGGUCGUUCGGGGCUCCGCGCCCCUCGGGGUUCGGGCCUCCGUGCCCCUC